AUUGAACGCUGGCGGCAUGCUUUACACAUGCAAGUCGAACGGCAGCACGGGCUUCGGCCUGGUGGCGAGUGGCGAACGGGUGAGUAAUAUAUCGGAACGUACCCAGAAGUGGGGGAUAACGUAGCGAAAGUUACGCUAAUACCGCAUACGAUCUAUGGAUGAAAGCAGGGGACCGCAAGUCCUUGUGCUCCUGGAGCGGCCGAUAUCUGAUUAGCUAGUUGGUGAGGUAAAGGCUCACCAAGGCGACGAUCAGUAGCUGGUCUGAGAGGACGACCAGCCACACUGGAACUGAGACACGGUCCAGACUCCUACGGGAGGCAGCAGUGGGGAAUUUUGGACAAAGGGCGCAAGCCUGAUCCAGCAAUGCCGCGUGAGUGAAGAAGGCCUUCGGGUUGUAAAGCUCUUUUGUCAGGGAAGAAACGGUAGAGGCUAAUAUCCUUUGCUAAUGACGGUACCUGAAGAAUAAGCACCGGCUAACUACGUG
Molecule: ribosomal RNA, 484 nt
Filed under: uncultured bacterium
Lineage: Bacteria
Description: partial 16S ribosomal RNA
Rfam family: Bacterial small subunit ribosomal RNA
Source: RNAcentral